RNAcentral lists this long non-coding RNA (384 nucleotides) under Gossypium raimondii (Peruvian cotton). RNAcentral's name for it is "long non-coding RNA (GRAI_LNC008978)". The record is from RNAcentral. Lineage: Eukaryota; Viridiplantae; Streptophyta; Magnoliopsida; Malvales; Malvaceae.
ACUUUUCCCUCAAAACUUUUACUCCUUCCCACUUUCCCCCCAAAACUUUUACUCCCCUCCCCUCUCAACCCCCCAAUCUAUCCAAAAUCCAUUUCCCACCAAAAUUUUACUCUCCCAUUUAUUUUUUCUCAAAAUUUUACUCCCCAAAACCUUCAAAACAUUUUAUUUUCCCCCAAAAUUUUUACUCCCUCCCACUUUUCCCCUAAACUUUUAUUCCCUUCCCAUCCCACCUCCCAUCUAUCCCAAACCCUCCCCCCUCAAAAUUUUUGUUUAAUAUUUUCCCUCCAAAAUUUUACUCACCUCUAUUUACUUUCCCUCAAACUUUUAUUCCCCAAAACUUUUUAUUUUUCCCCUAAACUUUUACUUCUCACCCUUUACUCCCAA